AUAACAACUACUCGUUUCAUGUACUUUUGUCCAUUUGCAUAUUGUUUAGAUUAAUUAAUCAAGAUAAUAGUAAUUGAACAUGCAAUAUCAGUAACUGCUGUUAUUAAUCUCUUAGAAUUUUCAGAGAUUCCAUUGUCAUAUGAUGGUCAUCUUUUUCACGGUUACUAUCAGUACUGUAAAUCAUAAUAGACUCGACAGAUUUAAGACCUCUAAUCUUUGUAUGGCUAAUGGUGCAAAUCAAAAGCCAUAAUAUCUACCACAACUUUUGAGAAAAUUUCCUAUCCUUCUUCCACUCAAUUUGACUCAUCUUAGAAUUGGGGGGUCUCCGUGGUGGCCGAGCUUAAGCAACUCGACAGGAAAGUAUCGUUUUCUUCCACUAUCGGCCGUCACUGUCUUACUUUUAAAAGACUAUUCUCAAAAGUUGAGGAAGAGACGGAUGUGUCUGUCUUCCUACGUUUACAGUCACUUGGAAGUUAAAGUUUUGUCCGAACCCAAGGACGGGAAAGCCAAGAAGAAGUCUCGAGCAGAGACGUAGCUAAUUAAUAACGGUACUAAGUCUGAACGAAGGUGAUUAUUGUUUCGACUUAUUCAAAGCUUGAAUCACCGGAAACCUUCAGGAUUCCGGUGCCCUUUUUCUUCUUUCAGGUCUCUGCUCGACCAACAAGCAGUAGCACCUCCGUUAAUCAGCCUAGUCCCCAUUCUUAUAGUUUGGAACUCAACAACCACCUUGAUCUCACAAUUCCAGGAAAGUUGCAGCUGCGACAGAUACAACGACUGAUGAUGACUCGUUUGACAGAAACUUGACGUUUGACGCGUAAGUCAAUGAGAUUUGAAUACACCCAAGCUUUAAAGUACUAAAUAAUACUUAGAAAAACCUGAAGCUUUAACCAUCUUGUACUGUUCCCUAGUCAGGAUUUGAAACUGAUUUCCAUUCUUUUCUCUAAAGGAAGGUUAAAGAAAACUUGCUCUGAUAUAUGCAGAAAGGUAUGGUUCAUCGAACAAAGGUGUAAAUUUUAUAAAUUUGCUUGUACAGCUCGAUCAAAAGUGGGUAGACUGAAAGGUAUACACCAUCUACCAGGAC
This 1081-nucleotide long non-coding RNA is filed under the name Theobroma cacao (cacao). Its description in RNAcentral is "long non-coding RNA (TCAC_LNC004696)". Lineage: Eukaryota; Viridiplantae; Streptophyta; Magnoliopsida; Malvales; Malvaceae. The record is from RNAcentral.